GAAGCUUACAGUCCUACACGUGAUGGCAGAGCACAUCGGCGGAGGGCUCUGUCUCACCCAGACCUGUGAGAGUGAUUUCCCAGCGAUUGCUUCGGCCGGUACAACCAGAGAACAGGAUUCUUUUCUUUUUGGCUGCUAAAUGCCUCUGUAUUCCACACUUUCCAGUGAGGGGAGAAGGCUGGAGCUUCUUGGAUGAUGAUGGAUAUUCCGCUGGGCAGGAUGAGGGCAGAGUGUGUGACAUCAACAGCACAAGGGUAAGAGCUGCCUGUCUGGUGUUUUCUCUGAUGCCAGCAUUUACCAAAGGAAGGGGAGAAAAACCUAGUGACAGAAAUGAGGGUUAAGCAUCUGGGAGACUCUUCUGUUUGUAAACAUCCAUGGGGCAGUUGGGGUAGAUGACUGAGGAAGGAAG
Molecule: long non-coding RNA, 409 nt
Filed under: Bos mutus (wild yak)
Lineage: Eukaryota; Metazoa; Chordata; Mammalia; Artiodactyla; Bovidae
Description: lncRNA (ENSBMUG00000014832.1)
Source: RNAcentral